Molecule: non-coding RNA, 558 nt
Organism: Cynocephalus volans (Philippine flying lemur)
Lineage: Eukaryota; Metazoa; Chordata; Mammalia; Dermoptera; Cynocephalidae
Source: the annotation of a RefSeq genome assembly
AUGGCCUGGUCCCCUCUCCUCCUCACCCUCCUUGCUCACUGCACAGGGUCCUGGGCCCAGUCUGUGCUGACUCAGCCACCCUCAGCGUCUGGGGCCCUGGGCCAGAGGGUCACCAUCUCCUGCACCGGCAGCAGCUCCAACAUUGGUACGUAUGAUGUGCACUGGUACCAGCAGCUUUCAGGAAAGGCCCCCAAACUCCUCAUCUAUGAAGACAGCAAACGGCCCUCGGGGAUCCCUGAUCGCUUCUCUGGCUCCAAGUCUGGCAGUUCGGCCUCCCUGACCAUCACUGGGCUCCAGCCUGACGACGAGGCUGAUUAUUACUGUCAGUCCUAUGACAGCAGCCUUGGUGUUCACACAGUGCUCCAGGCCAGCGGGGAAGUGAGACAAGAACCUGCCAUCUGCCCAGAGAUGGGGCUUCCCGUGUCAGUAACCUCACAAAGAAUCACCAAGUGCCCCAGUGCCACAUCCAUGGAGGCAGUAACAUGCGACUCCAGCAGUGAAGAUGAGCAAAGCGCCUACACAGAGACCACACUACAGCAUCGACCUGCAAUCGAUUGA